GCAGCCUCACACUGACAGGGAUGGUUACACCUUCUGCCACAUCACUCCUUUAUAUGAGGCAGCCUGGAGCUAGAAGACUUUGGAAGACCUGGUGUCGUAUCUGAACUUCUCCAUGAUAUCAGGUGCUGAUAACCUGUUCACCUCCUUUGAUAUACCUUGUUCUGGAGAUCAGCAGCAAGGUGGUGGAGUGCUAAGUAACAGAAAAAGAACUUCUCCAAGUGCUGCCAUCCAAAGGCUGGAAUAUAAUGAGGUGGAGAAGUUAAGAAGGCAGGAAAGCCCCUAUAGAUCCAAGAAGGACCUGCAGUACGAAUUGAAGCACACAAAGACAGUGAAGAGAGAAACUUUUGCGAAUGCGAAAGAGUUACUCAGUGGCGUCUUCUCCCAGGUAUGGGAUGUGCUGUGUGAAGGGAGCAGUCCAAACCUGCAGACACAUGUUGAGUGCUGGCCACUACAGAGGCCUCCAAGGAGAGAUGCAGCUGUGGAGAGGAACACUGGAAGAGAAAUACUGCACUGGCUGCCAUGGAGUACUCUAAAACCUGUGGGUGAGUGAGGAAGGCUCAGCUGCCUCAUGGGAGAGACUGAUUGGUGGAGAACCAUCUUGAAGAAAGACCAAUUAAACUCAGAACUCAGAGCAGCUGCUAGCUCCAUCUAGUGGUUCCUAAUUGGGUUGAGGCCCACAGAACAUGCGCUUAUGGAUACAAGGCGCCAGAGGGUGCAAGUUGGCGGGCUUUUUGGGAUAAAUCAAUAGGGACACUGUCUACAUAGAUUGUUUACCAGUAACAACAGAGACAAACCUGAAAGUGGAC
RNAcentral lists this long non-coding RNA (806 nucleotides) under Chinchilla lanigera (long-tailed chinchilla). Its description in RNAcentral is "lncRNA (ENSCLAG00000028807.1)". Lineage: Eukaryota; Metazoa; Chordata; Mammalia; Rodentia; Chinchillidae. The record is from RNAcentral.